GUAAGAUACAGAAACAGUCCACUGAAAAGACUUGGUGUACUAAGGGUACCUAGAGAAAUAUCUAAUUAUUCAACUGACAAAAAAGAAAGUGUGGAAUAUUGGUUACUUUAUGCACUCACAGCUUUCCAUAAUUAAAGGAGCCUGGCGAGAAAUUGUCGAGGUGUUGCAACUAACUUCUAGGGAGAAGACAGCACAGCAUCUUUCAAAUUUUGGUUGUUCCUGGAAUUGUACCAUGUAGUUCAUUAUGAUGACGACAGCCUGCAUGUGUUUUUCCUCAAUCCUCGAGGGACGUUCAAGAAGUACAUGGACUGGGUACUCCUUCACGAUGGUUCCCCCUUCACCAUCUGUGAGAGCAAGGAAGAAAAGAGUGAACCAUUCACAGCCACCAGCCCAGCAACCGCAAAGCCAGAGCCCACCGCAGACGCUGAGCCAGAGCCUGCUAGGAUACCAGAGCCAGAGCCUGAUCCACAGAUUUCCCCAGAGCCCAGAUGAACCAAGUCUGAACAGUGCUAUUCACACAAUCUUCCCCUCCAGAAGCUACAUCUUCUCCUCCAGAAGUUACAUUUUCUGAUCCCAUUGAUCCAGUUGGGUGGCAGAAUGAAAGCGAACAGUUCGUCUCUCCUGCCGAAUAUCUCCAUCUCUCCAACUGUGCCAAAGUGACUGUGUAGAUUCGGGUUCUUUUGAGAUUAACAAAACAUUGGUUUAACGUAAUCACAUACAGCUCAAUGCAUUUAUAGGCCUGCGAAUAUACAUGGAAAUCAUUUUAAAGGGAUAGUUCAGCCAAAAAUAUAUAUUUUAAUUAAUGUCAUUAAUUAAAUUAAAUUAAAAUAACUAUUAUUGUUCCAUAUCUGAAUGAUUUUCUUCCUUCCACAUAUCAUAAAAAGAGAUUUAGCAGGAUUUUCAAUCUGUUUUUUUUUUUUUUUUCCAUACAGUAAAUGUGAAAGGGCCUAAAAAAAAUUAGUGCCAUAAUAGUAGUUCAUAUGACUCUUGUGCUAUAUUAAAAUUUUCUGAAAUCAUACAAUAGCUUUGUAUGUGUACACAUUUGUUGUGUUGCAGGUGGUUCCCAUGUACAUGUAAAUGAUAACAUUUGGAAUCAUAGAUGGAAAACCUGGUAUGAAUUACAUAUUACAGUAACUGAAGCAAAUAGAAUUGAUCAGGCAACUUAUUUUGGUCUUUUCCUCACAUAAAGCUAUUAUAGGGUCCGUGUUAUUUUAGUAAUAGUGAAUAAAUAAUAUUCACUAUUAUGGAAUUUAUUAAUAUUUUGAAUUCGAUUUUAUUUUUUAGUUUUCAUUUUAGUUUUAGUUAUUUUAUAAUGUUCUUUUGUCAUUUUUCUUAGUGUUUUUUUUUCUAUUUAGCUUUUAUAUUUUAUGUCAAUUUUGGCUUUUUGUACUUGGUAACACUUUACAAUAAAGUUUUAGUUGUUAACAUUAGUUAACUACAUUAGUUAACAUGAACUAUAAAUAAAAAUACUUCUAAAGCAUUUAUUAAUCUUGGUUUAUGUUAAUUUCAACAUUUACUAAUCCAUUAUUAAAAUCAAAAGUUGUCCACUAAUAUUUAAUGGACCAGAGCUAACAUGAACUAACAAUGAACACUUGAAUUUCUAACAUUAAUAAGAUGAAUAAAUCCUUUAACUAAUGUAUUGCUCAUUGUUAGUUAAUGUUAUUUAAUGCAUUCGUUCAUUUUGCAGCUUUAUUUCAGAGGAAAAAAAAUGGUUCAGAAAAAGUUAUGGACAACUUUAAAAAAAAAAAAAAAAAAAGCUUGACACCCCAUGUUCACCAUUCACUGUCAUUGUAGCAGCUUGAACAUUCUGCUAAACUACUCUUGUUUUUGUUCCACAAAAGAAAGAAAGUCAUACAGGUUUGUACCGACAUGAGUUUGAGUAAACGACGACAAUAUUCUCAUAUUGGGGUGAACUAUCCCUUUAAAAACAAAUCAAUUAGUCUUUUUCAAAAUGUUUUAUAAAUUCACAAGUUAAGCUCUGUUACAGUCCCAUGUGUACCUAACAAGACCCAUUCGAUGACCUUUGACCUGAGAGGAGUAAUCGUAGCCCAAACAUGUCUCCUCCUGUGCCAACAAACCUGGUUCGAGUUACACUUUUAAUAGGCAGGUUUAAAGAGGGCAGAGGGAGGUGGAGUGUGGAACAGAUCAAAAGUUCUUUCCUAAAUGUCCUUUGUCGUGACUUUGCCGUGUUUGAUGUCUACGCUGUUGACUCUCUCGCUCUUUCUCUACCUCGCUUUCUCUCUCUCUCAUUUCAAAGAGAAGGAAGAGUCAUCUGCCUCCCGUGGUCUGCCAAUGCACAGACCACCAGGGGAAGUGAGGGAGCGAAAAAAGAAAGAGGAAGAGAAAGAUAACUGGAGAGAUUGGACAGUCGGGAGCUUUUGAAGAGAAGAAAGACCGAAUUCUGCCCCAAGAACAGCGAUAACGGACAUUGGGGCCCUCUGGGGGAAGGGACGGAGGGGUAUAUAUGAAAUAUGAAAGAAGAAAUGAGAGAUUUGAGCGUGAAAUGCUUAUUUCUUAAUAAAUGUUCUUUUCUUCUUUUUCUGUUUAAACUGGCGGGACAGUUUUAUGUUUGCAGAACAUGUGGACAGUGUGGACUGUUGUCCUUUCACCUAGAGCCAAGGCUCAUGAACUACAUGGUCGAGAGUGUUGGGAAAUCUGCAUCCUAUUUCAUGGUUGGCAAACAUCUGUUGACAGAAUACAUAAUUUAAGAAUCUGAGGCUUUUUCUGGCCAUAAUCCUUGCAUGGCAGAAUGGGAGAAUAUUUUUUUUUUUGACAAUAUUUUGCUGGUAUUUGCACCAGCAAGGCCCAUACUGAGUUCUAAACAGAGAUGAGAGAGCAUCGGAUGAAUAGAUCAAUAGAUGGAUGAAUAAGUGAAGCGAGUCAGUAUACAGCUAUUCACUGUCCCUGUGCCCUUUCUGUCCUCUCUGUGCUAUUUGGAUAAAAUCUCUUUUAUCUCCGCUGGUGCCAGCCUCUGAUGCAUAAACACUCCAGACUGACUCCUUUUGCUUUUGAUAGAGGGAGAGAAAAUGAAAGGAAGCAAAAACCGCAUUAGCGUUGCAGCACCAGUAAGAACAUCCCGUGUCCGGCCUGUCAUUCAUUUCAAUUUACACUUUUUCAUUUCUCUUAUACAGUUCAUUUCCUCCUUGAACUGUUCUGAAGUCAUCCAUGCUAAUGUGCUUAUAUAAGAACUUAUUGUGUCCUGUUGAUUUUUUUUGGUCAAUGUUUUUUUUUUUGGUCAAUGUUUUUUUUUUUUCAUCAAAGUGUGUGGGUUAUUUAUUUUUUUUACAAUUUUUUUUUUUUUUUUUUUUUACAUUUUUCUUUUUUUAAGUUACAAUACAUGUCAGUAAAACUUAUGGGUCCCAGGACAUCAUUUUUGUGGGCAUUUUCACUGACUCAUAUCACUACACUAUGAAAAAACAAAUCUUGUGUUGCAGUAGAAAAAAAAUCAAUAUAUCAUUUUUAUACAUAAUAGAUGUCAGUAUAAUCAUAUUUUUAGAGAAUACAUUAUUUGAAAUGUUUUUGAAAGAAGUCUUCUGAAAUAUUUAAUAUAUUUUAAAAUGUAAUCUAGAACUCGCUGAACUGCGUUCACUGCGUCAACUGCGUAGGAGACUGACAGGGAAGAGGAAAAAUUGUUGAAUAAAGUCAUUAUUUUUGUUUUGUUUUUCACACAAAAAGUAUUCUUGUCGCUUCAUAACAUUAAGGUUGAACCACUGUAGUCACGUUGACUAUUUUAACAGUGUUUUUACUACUUCUCUGGACCGAGAAUGUGAUAAUUUUGUUGCUUUCUAUAGGAGGUUGCUUUUCCUCUCGGAUUUCAUCAAAAAUAUCUUAGUUUGUGUUCUGAAGAUGAAUGAAGGUCUUACGGGUUUGUAACGACAUGAGGGUGAGUAAUUAAUGACAGAAAUGUAAUUUUUGGGUGAACUAACCCUUUAAUAUUUUGUGGAAACUGUGAUACAUUUUUUUUUCAGGAUUCUAUGAUUGGGAAAAAAACAGAAUUUAUUUGAAAUAUUAAUCUUUUUUAACAAUGUAAAAAAAAAAUGUUUCUCUCACUUUUGAUCAAUUUUAUGCAUCCUUACUCUAUAAAAAUAUAUAUAUAUUUUUUUUUAAAUCUUAUUAACCCCAAAUUUUUGAUAGGUAGUGAAUAUCUAAAAUAUAUGAUUAAAACAAGGAAAAAUACUUUGCCAAAAUAUAAGGCAUUAUAAAGGCCCUGCUGGGAAUCUCAGACAUUGUAAAGCUGUUUCAGUUUGUCAUCACAUAUAUUUAACCAGGCGUCUUUGUAAAAGGCAUUUGUUCAAACAGUUUUAGAUGUAUGAACAUGUCACCUGCCAUCAUGUCAAAACGUGUGUUUUUCAUUAUCAUUUCCUCUCCACACACUUGUGUCCUCAAACACAAGUAUGUGUGUAUUUUGUUAGAUGUGUUAUCUACAGCACUGGAAUCAGAUACUUUAUGAUACAACUUUGAAGAACUUUUCAUCUCUUUCGCACACACUCACACACCCCGUCUCUGUCUCACUCGGCAGGGUGGGCUUUAAUCUAUUUUCACCCCUGGCUUCUUAAGAAAGUAGAUCCAAUAAGUCAGCUUCCUGCUGCGAGAGUCACUCCUGACUAAACUUUGUGUGUGUGUGUAUCCUGUAUGGGGAAAAAUGGUUUUCUUAAACCUUUUCCAUCUCUCAUUUCGGCUUGAUUUAAAGGGAUAGUUCAGACAAAAAUUAAAAUUCUGUCAUCAUUUAUUCACCCUCAUAUGGAAGCCCGU
Molecule: long non-coding RNA, 4752 nt
Organism: Ctenopharyngodon idella (grass carp)
Lineage: Eukaryota; Metazoa; Chordata; Actinopteri; Cypriniformes; Xenocyprididae
Exons: 4
Source: RefSeq, a predicted model, not a curated record